Molecule: ribosomal RNA, 673 nt
Filed under: uncultured Acidiphilium sp.
Lineage: Bacteria; Pseudomonadati; Pseudomonadota; Alphaproteobacteria; Acetobacterales; Acidocellaceae
Description: bacterial SSU rRNA
Rfam family: Bacterial small subunit ribosomal RNA
Source: RNAcentral
AGAGUUUGAUCAUGGCUCAGAGCGAACGCUGGCGGCAUGCUUAACACAUGCAAGUCGCACGGGCAGUAGCGAUAUUGUCAGUGGCGGACGGGUGAGUAACGCGUAGGAAUCUAUCUUUGGAUGGGGGACAACCGUGGGAAACUACGGCUAAUACCGCAUAACGCCUGAGGGCCAAAGCUUGAGAGAGCGUCUGAAGAGGAGCCUGCGUCUGAUUAGCUAGUUGGUGGGGUAAAGGCCUACCAAGGCUUCGAUCAGUAGCUGGUCUGAGAGGAUGAUCAGCCACAUUGGGACUGAGACACGGCCCAAACUCCUACGGGAGGCAGCAGUGGGGAAUAUUGGACAAUGGGCGCAAGCCUGAUCCAGCAAUGCCGCGUGGGUGAAGAAGGUUUUCGGAUUGUAAAGCCCUUUUGGCGGGGACGAUGAUGACGGUACCCGCAGAAUAAGCUCCGGCUAACUUCGUGCCAGCAGCCGCGGUAAUACGAAGGGGGCUAGCGUUGCUCGGAAUGACUGGGCGUAAAGGGCGCGUAGGCGGACUGCACAGUCAGGCGUGAAAUUCCUGGGCUUAACCUGGGGACUGCGUCUGAGACGUGUGAUCUAGAGUGAGGAAGAGGGUCGUGGAAUUUCCAGUGUAGAGGUGAAAUUCGUAGAUAUUGGAAAGAACACCGGUGGCGAA